GAGAUUUUCUAAAUAUUGUUGCGUAAAUGUUGGCUGCUUUUUGAAAAUCUCAGUAAUUGUUAUGGUAUAUAUUGUCUUGGAUAUGGACAUAUGAAGUCCUGUUUAUGUCCAGCAGCAUAAUCAAUGUUAACUGCAUAACUGAAGAAGGUUAAAAAUCAACAAUCACACUAUUAAAAUAUCAGUCAAAGGUUUUCUGUGUGCCUCUGCUUCUACUUUAAAUAGUUAAUAAUGGCUCCCUACAGAAAGGCUAGAGCUUCUUAGUGCAAUUCUUUCAUCUUCUGUAAUUUUAGUUGUUAAAGAAAAAUCUUGGACUAUCAAAAGUUGAUUUUUACAGACGACCCUGUGCAAGAAAACACUGAACAAAUAUGGUUUGGUGUGCAAUAGUUGUGAGAAGAAAGAUUCCUCUGUUGAAAAUAAAUAUGAACGUACAGCUUAGGUUAGCAAGGCUACAUCUGACUGAACCAAAGUAAAAAUGUUGAGCUUAUUGCCAAUGUGGCUUGUUUUUUUUUAAAAAAACCAACUAAAUUCAGAUUAUUAUUAGCAUAAAACCUCAUAACAAGUGUCAAGCCUGGUUGUGGAGAAAUAGUGUUUGGGUUUGUUCUGUUGUUUGUUUUUGUAGAUUUCACGUUAGAUUCAAAUAAUUUUCAGACAUUUUUAUGUCCAUUUCAUUAAAAACACAACAAAUUAAUUCUUGUCUGUUGCCACAGAUCAAAAGCUGAAGUUUCAGUGGAGCAGAUCCAGAUGUCUAGUUUGAACAACAGAGAUGAGUGACGACUGAACAGAAGAGCCUCGUCCAACUAAACCGUAGUUAUUGUUUUAUCUUGUGUAAUUUGCAAAUCUGUGUUUUUAAAUGAAUGUCCCUUUGAGAAUGCCACAACAGCAUUUUAAUAACAAAGCUGGUUGAAUUUACUCCAUAGCAUAAACCAUGAUUUUAUAUGUUUUAAUUCAAAAUAUUUAUAAAUAUCUGUUAAAAAUGCCAUGUUGAAUUAAAUGUAAUUUGCUCAAAAAUGAUAAUAAAAAAUGUACAAACCAACACAAAGAGGAGAACGACUUCAAAUUUAGUGUGUAACGUCUUUAUUUUAUGAAUGUAUUUUAUAAUUACAUUUAUGACCCAUUUCUACUGCUGGAUAUGUUGAUAAUAAAUAAAUAACUAAAAAAUAAUCAUUUUCAUUUUAGUUUUUUGACUUGAAAGAGUAACUCACCAUUAUAUAUGAUGUGUUUUAUUUUAUCUAUAUUUGUUUUUGCUCCA
Long non-coding RNA from Xiphophorus hellerii (green swordtail), 1249 nucleotides. RefSeq lists it as uncharacterized. NCBI's taxonomy places the organism in Eukaryota, Metazoa, Chordata, Actinopteri, Cyprinodontiformes, Poeciliidae. The record is from RefSeq and is a predicted model, not a curated record. The transcript is spliced from 3 exons.